RNAcentral lists this long non-coding RNA (2527 nucleotides) under Gallus gallus (chicken). Lineage: Eukaryota; Metazoa; Chordata; Aves; Galliformes; Phasianidae. The record is from RNAcentral.
UAAAAGUAUAAGAAGCUCCACCAGUCCAGGCUGAAGGAUACCCUGAGCAGCAGCCUGGGGAGGAUGCUUGUGAGAGCAGAACGGGUUUUGCCUACCCAUUGAGGAGAAUGGAAAGAUGAUGGUAUGUGCAAGCCAUAAAUGAGGACUCAUCACCGCGUUUCCCAAAGGCUUGCUUGACCUCCAGCCUGGAUGGAGACAUCCAUGGGGUGGGAGAUUGGACCACGCAGCCAGGACCAUCCCAGGUGUGGGCAUUGGGUCUUCAGCCAAAUGCGUCGAAUGGAGCCAAGCAUGGUGAGGGACCAGGGAAAGGACAACAUCGUGCAUCGAGGCUCAGCUCUACCGCUGUAAUGAAAGAUUAAAUCAUUUUCUGAAAAGAACGUUACUUAACAUAAGAAGUUUCCUGCACACGAGAGCAAAUGAAGUCCAAGAGGUCUGAACAGACCAACAUGGCUGUGCAAGCAUCAUUCCUUGGAUGUUUCAGGUGAAACGAGGAUUUGGAUAGGGAAUCAGUUUUGAUGAUAAGUGCCAUUUUCAGCAAAAUUGUGGACCCAACGCUGAUCUGAGUGCAGACACCUGUCCCUUGGUUAUCACCCAACGUCUGUUCCUACAUCUCCCUGUUGAUUGCAGGGAGGUUAAACCAGAUGGCCUUUAAGGAUUCCUUCCAACUCCAAACCUUUCUAUGGUUCUACAGCCUUCCAAUCAGAGGACAACAUUGAAGGACCUUCACCAGCCGGCAGCAUGAUGUUGGGAAGCCACAGAUAACACUUGGCUCCGUGCACACCCAAGGGUCUUGAAGGACCAGCUCUCGGAAGACACCUGAAGGUUGCUCCUAUCAGGUUCCUGUUCCCUCCCCUUUGUGGAUGCAGACUGUACAUUAAGGUAAUGAAAGAAAUGGUUCAUCACAAGCGUUAGGACCCUCUGGAGGUUGAUGUGGGGGGGAAAUGUUGUCCUCAUUAAAGAUACUCCCUACUCAGGAACAAGGAAGACAGACUGAUGGCUACCAAACAUAGACAAAAGCCAUGGGCCAAAACCACUGUAGUAAGAGCACUAGCAGGAGGGAGCUGGACCAGGAUGCAUACCUAUGGUAUGGUCACACACAUGAGAGAUGUGAGGACAUUGCUUCAGCUGAGCACCUCAAUACUGAUAAGAAAACAUGGUGUGGGACCUGAUGUGCUGAGUGUCUUCAUCUCCACCACCAGCCAGCAGUGGCCAGAUGUGCUUGAUCCUGCCCAUUUCUUCCCUGGCCACCAUCAGCCCGGGAGAUCCUUUGCUAGCAUAGAAUCACAGAACCAGUCAGGUUAGAAAAGACCUCUAAGAUCAUCCAGCCCAACAAUCAACCCAUCUCCACCAAGCCAUGUCCCUCAACCGUACCCCCUAUGGGGCUGCAUUCCCCACUCCCACCCCACUCAGCCGAGCAUGCCUUUCCCCCAGCUCCUGCACUGGGGGACGAAGCUCUGGUGCUCCCGAAUGCCUGGAGGUAUAAUAAGCACUGAAGAGGAGUCAGUCGUGGUGUUAUGUAUCCGACCAGCCUGCAAUCUCGUUUUCUCCCUGGGCUGGGUGAGUAGGGCAAAGGUUGCAGUCGCUGGCUGUCACUCCGGCUCUGCCUUGCUGCGUGUGCACCGGUGUGUGCACGCAUUGCCCAGCACCUGGAUUGAGGUUUGUUUCAGCUGCAGUGCUGCAGACAGCCUGUUUGGUUUGGACAGGGCUGGGGGAACUGUGAAGCCAGUCGGGAUAUAAUCUAAACCCUGGACUCUGCAAUCACAGAAUCAUUACAUUGGUUGGGAAAGUCUUCUAUGACCAACAAGUCCACCUAUAACCAAUACUGCCCACCCUACUGUGAAGAUAGCCCAAGCCAGGGGACAGCUCAGCCCCAGCCCCAUGAUAAAGGAUGCCUGUGGAAACCUUGGCUCUUCCACAACAGUUUGGGCUGAACACAGCACAUUCAGGGAUGCUCUUCAGCUCCCACUCACAGACUGACCAGAGACGCUCACAUUCCUUUAUCCCAGGGAAACCUUCACAGUGCAUUCGGAGGCAACGUCCAAAAGGAAAGACUGUGGAUCCCAAUGCCUCUUCCAGUGCCACACCUGAGAAUACACAGAGAGGAGUGAGUCUCCCAGCCUUGGCGCUGGGUUUUAGGUGACGGCACAGCAGAUCUGUUAGGACUGAAUGCCUGCAUGUGUGGCUUGUGAAAACUCACACAAAUAAACGCACACCCACCAGCACGCCUGCGGGAGUGCUCUGCGACCCACACAGCUGAGGAAAACCCACCUUUGCACGCCGUGAUUCUCUUCUGACCGCCGUCCCCUAUUUAGCACACCUCCACCAACCAGGUGAGCACGGGUGACGGCGACCGCUCGCUUUCCGUUUGUAAUGCACUGGACACAGUUCUUUUGUCAGAGCAAUUUUCAUUUGGUAAAGCUGCUUCUGUCUGUGAGCUGCGCUCGUAUACAGCACCUUCCCUGAGCAGUCAUCAGAGCAGCUCUGAAAUGUUUGGAUAGUUUGAAAUAAAUUUCAUCAGAAAAACCAC